UACUUCUGGAAUGAGUGUCAUUGUUCCAGAACCCCCCUGUAUGGCAGAGACCUGUUGGAAACUUGCCCUUGGAUCAGUGAAAGAAAAAUCUCUCAGCAUUGUUCUUCCAGGAUUAACAAGUGGUGCUGGGUUGGCUUUGCAAAAUGCCUUCCAUACUCCAGCACUUCAGAGGCUCUAAGGAUCCAUUGCAGGACCUCAUUCUGACACUGAAACAGCAGCAGAUUGCCCUGAAGCAUUAUUAUUGUUAUUGCCAGAGACAUGUGUGUGUUCCCAGCUGUAGCUAUUGCUCCUCCAUGUUUGUAUGGAGUAAAUCCUUCUUACACAAGGACCCAUGGAAUGAAACCCCUGCAGUUCAGGCUCGAGGAACAGAGAUGGUGCAGCCUGAUUCAGGUGUCAGUCACACAGAUGUGAUUCCUGUUGUCUUCUAUGACACUGGACACAAAGAUGGGAUGGUGUGACAAAAGUGCAAGAGGAGGAGAUACCCACACAUCCAGGUGAAUUUCAUGCUAAGAAAUCAAUGUUUUAAAAUCAAAAGUAGAGAGAAGAUGAUUUGGGGAGAAACUAGGAUUUUUGGUUGUAGUUUGUAGUUUAAAUAACUUGGUCUUUGAAGAAGCCUUCAAAGAUUUUAUCAUACCCCUUCCCUUCAAACUAGGGGGAAAUUAAAAAUCAUGUCCUUCCCACACUGCUGCUUCUGUUCCUGUUUUUCCCUCCCACUUCCAUCUACCAAACCAUCUGGACUUCUGUGUUGGGACAGCCAAAGCAAAUGGGUGGGUGUUUUCAGCCCUUGAUAAACAAAAAAUGUCAUUCUUGAUUCUCAUUGAGUUUCAGAUCCAGUGAUGAGAUGCUGUGUGUGUAGGUCUAAGAUGUAUUUGACAGCUUCUCUCAAGUGACUGUUUCUUGCCUUGGAAGGAUAUGCUGAGAGCACAAGGAAUGUAGUGGGUUUCUUUGUUUUACAGGCUUGUAAGUGGUAAUUCUACUGAAGAGAGGCUGUUUGAAAAGAGUAUUAAACAUAUGAUUCAAGAGCUGGCUGCUCAGGGAGAGGAUUGUUCAAUAGACUUUUUAUCCCAGGUACUGUAACAUUAAGAAUGUGAGCAGUUAUUUGAUGAUACAUAAAAAAUAAGUGUUUUAAUAGAUCUCAGACAGAAUUUUGUAAAGGUAGUGGUUUAUUUAUUUCUAGGCUUGUUUGGGAACCUGUGGUGUGUGUUCACAGUUCAAUUGAGUAGAAAUCCUGAACCGUCAGCUCAUAUAGAAAAUCAGAAGGUAACAAUAUGAAAUAAAUAUUGAUGAUAUUGAUAAAUUGUAAUAAAG
Molecule: long non-coding RNA, 1308 nt
Filed under: Serinus canaria (Common canary)
Lineage: Eukaryota; Metazoa; Chordata; Aves; Passeriformes; Fringillidae
Description: lncRNA (ENSSCAG00000005467.1)
Source: RNAcentral